Molecule: long non-coding RNA, 1077 nt
Filed under: Ananas comosus (pineapple)
Lineage: Eukaryota; Viridiplantae; Streptophyta; Magnoliopsida; Poales; Bromeliaceae
Description: long non-coding RNA (ACOM_LNC010379)
Source: RNAcentral
UUUGUGCCCAACAGGCUUCAUCAAAAUGGGCUCGAUCCCAACCCAAUUCUUUUUCAAAUUUUGAAAAUAUCUCAUGUCAUAACGAUCUCAUACAUAUCCUUUUCUGUUCAAAAUUCGAUUUAGAUUUUGAAUCUCCAACCAAUUCCUUAAAUAUCUUUUUCUCAACCAAUCACAUCCGCAUCCCAAACUUCAAGUUUAAACAUCAAAAUAUUCAAAUUUCGAAUUUUUGAACUCCCAACCAACCCUCAACAAUCUGAUUCAAAAUUCGAUUUGAAUCCCCAACUGACUCCUCAAAAUAUCUCUCGCCCAACCCCACGAAUCGCUCCGAUUCCUCAGAUUUUUCCUUCUACUAUAAGGGCUUGUUUGGUUCAUCCAUUUUGGGUAUGGAAUGGGAAUCGGUUUGAUUAAAUCCGGUUAAUUUUGAUUGGUUCACAUGAAUCGGUUUGGGAUUCCUAUUCCGGACUGGAAUGGGAAUGACCCAUUACCCUUUAACUUGAUUCCGGUCUUCUAGUCCGGAUUGAGAUUUCAUUCCGGAAGCCCACUAAGUUCUCGAAGCCCAUGUGACCAUCUCACCCUCCUUCUCUUCACCCCUUGCUCAUUAAAAAAAAAAAAACCUAUCCUCUCUCAAAACCCUAUCCCUAAUCCACAUCAAUAAAAGUUUUUAAAAAUAAAUUUGAUAUUUUUUUGGAAAACUUAUUAGAGAAUAGUAUUAUAUUUUUCAUAAAUUUUAAAUAAUAUACAUUUAUAUUUGAGAGUAAAAUUAAUAUUAUAGUAUCCUAUAAUUUUUUAAUUUAUACGAACCAAACAAUAAAAUGUGAAUAACUCAUUCCAAUUUCCAAUCCACAAAUAAACCAAACGUCUUGGGGGAGUGGGCCAUUCCAAUUACCAUUCCAAUUCGUUUCCAUUCCAUUAUCCAUUCCAAUUCCACCCUUGAACCAAACAAGCCCUAAAUAUGAUGAUGAAAAAAGAUGAUACAUAUAGAGAACGGAGAGAGAGAAUAACAAUACAAUGAGAGAAUAGGGAUACAAAGAGAGAAUACCGAUACAAAGAGGAGAGAUAAUAGCGCUCCCACCCCCU